RNAcentral lists this long non-coding RNA (2396 nucleotides) under Triticum aestivum (bread wheat). RNAcentral describes it as "long non-coding RNA (TAES_LNC018158)". The record is from RNAcentral. Lineage: Eukaryota; Viridiplantae; Streptophyta; Magnoliopsida; Poales; Poaceae.
UUUGAUUCCCUAUUUUACAUCCCGGAGAAACUUGAGUAAUUGUUUUUGCAUCUAUCAGCUGCUGAAGUUUUUUUUGGUCUUUAUGAUUUUUACAUCUACAUCAUCUAUUGUAGAUGCUCUGAAGUCGGCCACGAUUGUGGUAAAAUGUUGACACUCUGGGGCCUGUAAAAAAGAAAUGUUUGACAGUCUGGGAGCCGUGGAGCAACACGCUCGAGGUGUCGUAGUGGAGGGAAGCGUACCAAACUGGUCAAAAUCCGAUUCCAACCACUACCAACCACAUCGCAGAAGUGCGAAUCCGCCCGCCCAACGCCGACACGGCACCAGAACACCCCGUCACAGCGGCGCGCCUCCGAGUCAAGCCAACCCCCGCGCGGCGGCCGCCCGUAGCCACCGUGUCCUGCUGUCCCAGGAAUAGGAUCCCGCCGGCUGCGCGGCCGAGGGAGAGAUGCGGCGGUCGUCGAGCGGGGCGCGCGUGUCGGAGGGCGGCGACGCGUCCUCGUCCUCGUCGGGCCACCACGGCGACGGCACGGCGCUCCCGACGUUCGACCCGCAGUCGGCGGCGGGCCGGCGGGAGGCGGCGCGGACCCGGGCGCUGGGGCGCGCCGUGCACUUCAUCCCGCUGUUGCUGCUGCUCUGCGCCCUCGUGCUCUGGCUCUCCGCCGCCUCCACCUCCCCGGUUCACCUCGGUAAGGUUCCUGCCAACUCUUCCCCUCUUCUCCCUCCCGAUCCAGUCCCCACCUUCGUCACGAUGGACCUGCUGUACAUGAGGGCACCUCUCCGCCCCUCCGCACGCGCCCCUGGAGCAAUCGUCGAUAAGGCCAUCCCGUUAAGACGACGUUGAAGCCUAAAACCGGUGAAUAGUCGUACUGCGAUAGCGGUAUUCCUAGCGUAUUUCCACCCAUAAGAUCUCUUGGUGCCCAUCUGAAUACAAUCACCAAAUGGCCAAUUUUAUCCAGGAUAGCGCGUGAGGUGAACGGAGCACAACUGCACAAUGCGGUAGGCAGGUCUGUGUUUGACCAAUGUAUUCAUAAACGAGUGAAAUGACAAUGCCCCCGUUGCUUGUAUGUGAGGCCUAUGUCAGGACUUUAUCAAUUUCUGCCAGGUUGUGUUUAGCAUAAUCCUGCAAAGCUUUGCAAAUAAAGAAAAUGCCCUAGGUAGUUUUUUUUUUUUUUUUUGCGGGGAAAAUGCCCUAGGUAGUUGGCUGCCCAUUACAGGGAGUAGCACAAAAUACUAGUUAGCACAUAGUACCCUGAUAUCCUCAGGCUAGUGCCAAUCCUCCCUGCAACACGCAAGUGUUAUUGCCUUGUUUCCGGCAUCCAGGCGCCAAUCUUGGUUCCUAUGCCUUAUGACCACUGAAACUGUUUGAUGCUUCAAUCAGGAUAUGUGAAAUAGCACCUGUAUGCAUCUAGUUUAUUGUGGCAGAAACCUCCCUGGUAGUUUACUGCAUCAGCCUAUCAGGGGAUGGUAUGCACUUGCUCUUAGAGCAAUCUUGUUUCACUGCACAACUGCAGCGCGGUAUCACCUUUUUUAUAUUCGCCCUGUCAGGACUCGUGAGCCAAUUAUCAGAAAGACAUUCAGUUGUUUUCAGUUGCUUUGGGGAUCUGUCUCCAGCUUAAAGUGUACCCCCUCUGCCCCACAAUAUAAGACGUUUUUGUAACCUAUGUUAGCUUGCAAAAACGUCUUAAAUUAUGGGACGGAGGGGUACUUUUGAAUGAGCCGAAUCAUCAUGUGGUUUAGCUGGCAAUGUGCAACUGAGUAGGAUGAAAAGAUGUCCAUGUGCUCACCAUCUCCACAAUUUUCCGGUGUCGCAAGUUCUGUUACGCAUUUGAUUGCCCCCGAUAGAUGCUACACUGUGUUAUCACUUGCUUACUAUGGAAUUUUGAAUUUGGUGGUACAUUAUAUUUCUAUAUUAUGUUAAUUCCUUGUUCCGCUCCCAAAAUGCUUUCUCAUGAUCAUAGUUUUGCUGCUGUAUACAGACUGAUAACAGGACGAUAUGGCAAGUUGAUCCAGAAUCUGGUGUCCAUAGGUUCCACAAAAGGGUACAGUUAAGUUGAUCAGGAAUGAUGAGGUUAGUAAAGGAGGCCUUAAGUUCGGGUUUGGAAGAACUAGCACAGCAACAAGCUCACAUACUAGGUGGUUAUUUCUGGGUAUUCUUUUCACUCCAGAUUGGAGUUGGUGUAAUUUGGCCCGCCAUUACAAUUUGUAUACAAAAAACUGAGUGAGCUCUUUUACGGUGAUUGGGGAGUUACAUCUUGUAAUUUGAUGUAACUCCUCCCUUAAUUAUUCUCCACCGUUGAUUAUAACUUGUUAACUAAAAAAGUUAAAUUUAAUCAACAAGGGUAUUAUGGUCAUGUGUAAUUGUUUUUUUAGUAACUCUGUCAAUUCGCUGGUCAAUC